CUCCCUUCCUCGGCCAUUCCCUUGAGGUCAGUUCCAGCAAUGUUACAAGAUCUCCCUUCCUCGGCCAUUCCCUUGAGGUCAGUUCCAGCAAUGUUACAAGCUCUCCCUUCCUCGGCCAUUCCCUUGAGGUCAGUUCCAGCAAUGUUACAAGCUCUCCCUUCCUCGGCCAUUCCCUUGAGGUCAGUUCCAGCAAUGUUACAAGCUCUCCCUUCCUCGGCCAUUCCCUUGAGGUCAGUUCCAGCAAUGUUACAAGCUCUCCCUUCCUCGGCCAUUCCCUUGAGGUCAGUUCCAGCAAUGUUACAAGCUCUCCCUUCCUCGGCCAUUCCCUUGAGGUCAGUUCCAGCAAUGUUACAAGCUCUCCCAUCCUCGGCCAUUCCCUUGAGGUCAGUUCCAGCAAUGUUACAAGCUCUCCCUUCCUCGGCCAUUCCCUUGAGGUCAGUUCCAGCAAUGUUACAAGCUCUCCCUUCCUCGGCCAUUCCCUUGAGGUCAGUUCCAGCA
Long non-coding RNA from Eriocheir sinensis (Chinese mitten crab), 498 nucleotides. RefSeq lists it as uncharacterized. The transcript is spliced from 4 exons. The record is from RefSeq and is a predicted model, not a curated record. NCBI's taxonomy places the organism in Eukaryota, Metazoa, Arthropoda, Malacostraca, Decapoda, Varunidae.